AUAUAUUGCGAGGUGCAGAACU
This 22-nucleotide microRNA is filed under the name Triops cancriformis. RNAcentral's name for it is "tcf-miR-10305". The record is from miRBase by way of RNAcentral. Lineage: Eukaryota; Metazoa; Arthropoda; Branchiopoda; Notostraca; Triopsidae.